Molecule: long non-coding RNA, 664 nt
Filed under: Rattus norvegicus (Norway rat)
Lineage: Eukaryota; Metazoa; Chordata; Mammalia; Rodentia; Muridae
Description: long non-coding RNA NONRATT032003
Source: RNAcentral
CUGUGAUUCAUUAUUUUAGCUAGAAUUUAAAUUUAUUCCUUCAUCCUCUUUGCAAUUAUUCACACAUCUCCAUUAUUUAUGCCAAGGAUCCUGGUUUCCAGGGCAGUGUUUUAAGUUUUCUUAAAAAAAAAAAUAAAAAUUUAUUAAGUUAAAAUACACGAGCUGAUUUACAGGGAAAAAUAUUACUUCGUUUCACAGAAUGUAAAGGUUCACAGUUUUUCUGAUAUUUAUAUGCUCUUAAGUCAUGGUCCAUCGUUCAAAAGAUGCACCCCUAGAACAGCCAUGGACCAGGCCCAGCAGUGUGCUCAGGGGGGUGUCCCACCUUCAGUUGAUGCUCAUGGUGAAGUCAGGAGUCGUCAACCUCAGAGCAUUUCAGACUCAAAAAUAAAUUUCCAGGCACCACAUAAUCAGGCUGCAGGCUCAUGAACGAUAAGAAAAAAAAAGAACUUUGAAUAUUAUGCUAGACUAAAGAUCAAUAGACCGGAAUAUCAGAUACCUGCUCUCAGACUCGCACCAGAGCCUAGAUCAUCCAGUUUGAUGCCUCCUCAAAGGAGCUUCCACUACUCAAGGAAGGGAGGAAGAAAGGAAAGAGGACAGGCUACCUCGGUCUUCUGGAAGAUUCCAGGUAUGGCCGUACUGUGAGUCCUAGGCAGCUAGGGGCCAG